Molecule: ribosomal RNA, 497 nt
Filed under: uncultured bacterium
Lineage: Bacteria
Description: partial 16S ribosomal RNA
Rfam family: Bacterial small subunit ribosomal RNA
Source: RNAcentral
GAUGAACGCUGGCGGCGUGCCUAAUACAUGCAAGUCGAGCGAACGGACGAGAAGCUUGCUUCUCUGAUGUUAGCGGCGGACGGGUGAGUAACACGUGGAUAACCUACCUAUAAGACUGGGAUAACUUCGGGAAACCGGAGCUAAUACCGGAUAAUAUUUUGAACCGCAUGGUUCAAAAGUAAAAGACGGUCUUGCUGUCACUUAUAGAUGGAUCCGCGCUGCAUUAGCUAGUUGGUAAGGUAACGGCUUACCAAGGCAACGAUGCAUAGCCGACCUGAGGGGGUGAUCGGCCACACGGGAACUGAGACACGGUCCAGACUCCUACGGGAGGCAGCAGUAGGGAAUCUUCCGCAAUGGGCGAAAGCCUGACGGAGCAACGCCGCGUGAGUGAUGAAGGUCUUCGGAUCGUAAAACUCUGUUAUUAGGGAAGAACAUAUGUGUAAGUAACUGUGCACAUCUUGACGGUACCUAAUCAGAAAGCCACGGCUAACUACGUG